UUCCCUCCGUCUCACGCUGUUCGUGAGUCGCUUGCUUCACAUGGUACGGUUGAGUGCAGCGCAGGAGAUUCCUUCGGAAAGCGGGAGGAUCGCCACAGAUAACUCGAUCGGAUCACAUUCCACUUUGGAGAUAUUCCCCAAUCGGUGCUCGGCAUUAGGCGAGCCAUUUUCCCCUUCUUUUCAUGAAAGAAUUAAUGCGAUGGAACUGUAAGAUGCUAACAUUAGGCGACCAAGGCUUCCCGAUUUGGCGUACCGAAGCAGGGGGCCGUGAAGCAGAAGCAACUCCCACCUGCUGCCGCUUUAGCAAAAGCGCAACGCGGUCAUGUUCUCGUAAACAAAACAUCAAACACCUGUCGCGCGUUAGGUAAAGGCGCAGGGCAGUCGUGUCUUCGUCAGCAGCAAAUCAACAAACACUUGUCGCGCAUGGCGAUACGGUGGUGGAUCAGAUGCAAGUCUUCUGUUGCGUUCUCCUGGAAUAAAGGACAAGUCUUUGAUGAUACUUUCCAUGGAAUUCGGCCUCCAAAGCUUCAUCGAGACUCUUAGGGUUUCAAUAUGGCACCAUCAACACUCUUUCCGUAUGGUCACGAUUAUGGCGUCAUCAUAUGAUGGAUCCAUGUGAUUCUUUCCUAAGCACAGACGGUAAGCAAAGUAUAAGCAGGAUUAAGAAUCAUUUCAUGCAAGUGGUAGUAACAUUUACUACUUGUGUUUGGUGGUUUGUGACACAUGUAAAGGUUACCAUCACAAAUUAUCCAAGUAUCUUAAUUUGAA
Non-coding RNA from Musa acuminata subsp. malaccensis (wild Malaysian banana), 768 nucleotides. NCBI's taxonomy places the organism in Eukaryota, Viridiplantae, Streptophyta, Magnoliopsida, Zingiberales, Musaceae. The record is from RefSeq and is a predicted model, not a curated record.